CAGCUACUUAAUUUUUAUUCUAUUCCAUUUUUAGUUUUAGUCACUUAGAAGACUAAUGAUAUAUAUUACAUAAAAUACAUAGGUGAGUAUAUUUUUCAUUUAUGUGUGUUUUUAUCUUCUAGUGAAUCCAUUCCUACAAUCUUCAAUGUCAGUAGAAAACAUCUGUGUUUUCAUCAUAUGGAAGAUCUGAAAUAUCAUGAAGACAAAGAUUCCAACCUCUGAAGUUCCCACCAUCAUGCUAUUAAGCAUUACAUCCUAGAGGUGAUGUCAGCAAGAUGGCAGAUUAACAGAUCCCUGGCAUCAUAUAUGGCUUCAUCUAUAUUAUCAGAAACGUAAUUCCAGCUACUUGCCCUCAGAAAAUCCAAUGGCAACUACCCAUGGACCAAACCAUAUUGGUGAAAAUGUAAAAAUGUAGAAAUGACGCUUAAGACACUUCCUUUUGGACCAUUGUGAGAGAGUCAGGGAGAGAGUAAGGGAAAGGAAGAGAAAAAAUUAAAGCUGCAUUAGAAGGCAGGAGGAAAGGUUUCACCUUGUCCCAUAUUGACUCUCCUCAAGGCUGGCCUAGCACCAUGCAAAGAAGGUUUCCCUGAGCUUAGGUGUCUCCAGAGGAAAAAGAUCCACUUCUGCCUCACCUCAAGAGAAACACUGAUGAAUUCCAAGGAUACACAAUGUAGGGUAAGCUAGAAAAAGAAAGGGGGCUCAUAGUGACCAGCUAGUGAAUUUUGGCUGGGGCAUCACAUUCCUCCUUGCAGUAGCACCCAAACUGUGAGGCCAUCCAGUGGUUUGCACUCAAAGGAAGCCUAUCCUGUAGCUCUAUUUGGCUAUGAAUUGUGAUGUUGAAGUCGGAAUUAGACAGGCAGUCAGUAUAGAUAGGUAAAUCAACUCAGGUCAGAUGAGUCAGACCAAUUUUGAGGGAGUCCCAGGAAGUUGGAGACUGUUCCCUGAAGGAUUGAAAUGUUAAUUCCUUCAGAGCCCUUCCUCCACCCUUACCAAGAACCUGCCCCUUCUCCAACCUGUUGCCAAGGUAACCUCUCCCAAGAAGUGCACCACCUCACAGGGAGCUAUAUGGUUGUUAAUGUGUCCUGGGUUGCACCAUCUGCCCUUCCCCCUUCAGCCCACAAGUAUCCCACCUUUGGGUCAUCUCACCAAGCAUUCCUGGGCCUAGUCAUGUAUGCAGGAAGGAGAAAGAUAAGGGGAAGAAGGCAGGAG
RNAcentral lists this long non-coding RNA (1209 nucleotides) under Marmota monax (woodchuck). Lineage: Eukaryota; Metazoa; Chordata; Mammalia; Rodentia; Sciuridae. The record is from RNAcentral.